RNA transcript from Sorghum bicolor (sorghum), 5712 nucleotides. It is a transcript of the gene named protein FAR1-RELATED SEQUENCE 5, with no coding region annotated. The transcript has 6 exons. NCBI's taxonomy places the organism in Eukaryota, Viridiplantae, Streptophyta, Magnoliopsida, Poales, Poaceae. The record is from RefSeq and is a predicted model, not a curated record.
GUGAGACUCUUCUAUCACCGCGACCCGUUGAGUCCGUGACUCCUCGACCCCGCUCCCUCGUCUCCGUUCUUCUUUCGUGAGUCCACGACCUCUCACGGCGGCCGGCCGCGAGGUCCGCUCUACUCGGCUUGGCUACUUCCCUCGGAGUCCCCGUCUCCUGCAGUCGCGUUCCUGCUGUACGCUUCGCCUCUCCCUUCGCACUCCUCCUUCCCCAAUCCCAUGCCACCGACGCUGACUGCUCGCGCUACUGCAGCUUCGCCGCCGACGAUUCUGCUACUGAGCUGCGGUGGACUUAUCGGGUCUGCCACACCCGUCGGGGCUCCGCAACCCCUAUCGGGGACGGGGACGGGCGAAAGAUUGCGCCGAUACGGGGGCCGGGGGCGGGGAGCGGGGAAAAAUCCAGAUAUCGGGGACGGGGACGGGGUAGCACUCCCCGCCGGCAUGCCCCCGUUGCCAUCUUAGCGCCCAACAGCCAAUCAAGGAACCAGAGGGUUCUUGCUCCCCAUUUCCGCAAUUGGAGCCACCUGCUUUUACUUCCUCCUCUGUACUCGCGGAGUUACCAAAGCUUCAGAUUUCUUGCUUCUUGGCGGCAGUUUGGUAGGGGUUGGAGUGCCAGAGCCGGAGCCCGCUGGAAGCUGAUUUGGAUUGGUUCUUGAAUUGGGCGUGUCGGCCGGCGUCAGUGAGAAGUUUCCAUGGUUCUUGGUUUGCUGUUGGAGUGUAUGAGAUAACACAGGGAAGGAGAUUGCGGGAGGGUAACAGAGGUCGAGGAGCGGGCGGCGGGGCACGGGAUGAUGGAGCCCCAGGUGGUGGACCUCGAGGAUGACAGCAUCAACUUCUGGGCCUCCCUCGGUGUUAGCCCCCACGUGGACCAGAUGCCACUGCACAACGUCCAGAUCGUCGACCAUCAAGCUCAGCCACCACUGGCGGCGGCAGUGGCACAGCCGCAGUCCGUCUGCAGGGACCUCUUCCCGGUGGAGUCGGACGCCUGCCUGGAGCCUCGGCUGGGGAUGGAGUUUGAGUCUGGUGAGGCUGCCAAGACGUUCUACAUUGCUUAUGCUGGCCGUGUUGGGUUCUCCGUUCGCAUUGCCCGGUCACGCAAGUCUAAGUGCAGUGAGUCCAUUAUCAUGCUAAGAUUUGUGUGCUCAAGGGAAGGGUUCAGUAAGGAGAAACGUGUCGUCGCGGCUGCGAAGAAGACAAGGAAGCGCCCUGCCUCCAUCAGGGAGGGUUGCAAUGCCAUGCUUGAGGUGCUCCGCAGAGGUGAUAGCAAGUGGAUUGUUACCAAGCUUGUCAAGGAGCACAAUCAUGAGGUUGGGCUGCCCAGUCGAGUGCAGUAUAUCGCCAUCGAGAGUGAUACUGUUGUUGACCCUUACAUUGGUAUGGAAUUCGAGUCCCUUGAGUCCGCCAAGACAUUCUACUACUCGUAUGCCAGCCGUGUGGGGUUUGAAGCUCGUGUACGUCAGUCCCGCAAGUCGCAAGAUGAGUCACUUAAGAUGCUGAAGCUUGUGUGCUCUAGGCAUCGAUACCAUUCAGGGCGGGAGAACAAUGGAGAGGAUACCAAGAGAGUACGUGCAUUGGACCCCUCGAGGGAUGGUUGUGAUGCAUUGUUUGAGAUAAUUCGGAAGGGAAAAGAUACCUGGACGGUCUCCAAACUCAUCCUAGAGCAUACCCAUGAGCUGAACCCAGCACCAGCAAGCAAAGUUCACUGUGUUCGGUCACAAGGUGAGGUACUUGUCAUUGCAAAUAAUUUUGCGGACACACGUAAUCUCCUUCUGAAUGGCCAAGAUUCUCAGUAUCCAAGAGAGAUGAGGUAUAAUGAUUUAGGGCCAGAGGAUGCUCAAAGCCUAUUUGAAUACCUUAAGAAGCGACAGGAAGAGGACCCUUCAUUUUUCUAUGCUGUGCAGCAUGAAAUGAAUGGGCACAAUGCCAAUAUCUUCUGGGCUGAUGCUAAAGCUAGGAUGGCUUACUACCAUUUUGGUGAUGCUGUUAGGUUUGAGACAGCAUAUCGGAAAAACAAGGAGACUAUCCCUAUCGUCAUAUUCUCAGGUGUCAAUCAUCAUGUGCAGCCUGUUGUUUUUGGCUGUGCACUACUUCUUGAUGACUCUGAAGCAUCAUUUACAUGGUUGUUUGAGAAAUGGCUUGAAGCAAUGCACAUGGGUCCACCUGUUUCUUUGCUAUCAGAGUUGAACCAAGGAAUGACAGCUGCUGUUGCCAAGGUAUUACCCAAUACCCACCAUAUUUUCUGUGAAAAGCAUAUCUUAGACACAAUGAAGGAGGAUCUACAUGGUACGUGCCCAGAUCCAGAGGCUUUUGUAACUGACCUAAGGAAGUGCAUUGAUGGGUCCAGAAUAGAAGAACUGUUUGAUUCAGGUUGGAACUCGGUCAUCAUAAAGCAUGAGCUCAGCAACAAUGAGCUUUUACAGUCUCUCUAUGAUAUUCGCCAACAAUGGGCCCCGGCAUACACAAAAAAGGCAUUUUAUCCCAGAAACCUGAUGCCAACAAAAUGUGGAAGUAUCGAGAAGGCUAUUGAGAAGUACUUUUCGUCCAAGACUGAAUUGCGGGUGGCAGUUUGGCAACUUGGACAGGCAAUUUCUAGUUCAUUUGAAGCUGAAGUUCAGGCAGAUUAUUUCACAAUGUUUCAAAUGCCAGCGUUGAGUACAGCCUCACCAGUAGAAAAACAAGGGAGUUCAAUAUUCACUAGCACAAUAUUUGCCUUAUUUCAGGGGCAGUUUGUUGAUUCUUUUGGGUACCAUGCAGAGAGACUUGAUGAUGAUACAGUACACAAGUAUCGUGUCAAGAGAUAUGAAGGUGAUGAGGAGAUACAUACCGUCUAUUUCAAUCCCGAUCGAAGUACAGUGAAUUGUAGUUGCUGCCUGUUCGAGAGCUGUGGUAUCUUGUGCAGGCAUGCUCUCCGGAUUUUCAUUAUCGAAGGAGUACGUGAUCUUCCAAAGGCUUAUAUCCUGAAACGUUGGACAAAGCAUGCAAAAAAUAUUAUCACCUCUGAUAACUACACUGAUCUGAGGGGAGACCAUGAAGAUCCUUCAACUGCAAGGUUCAAUGAUUUGUGCUGUCAUGUGGUAAAAUUUGCAAAAGAAGGUUCAAAAUCCUCUGAAAUCUAUGCAGUCGCUAAAGAUGCACUAUCCAAGGCUUUUGAUGAGGUAGUACAGUCGUCGAAGAACUUUAGAGGGCAGAAAAAUCCGCAAAGCUAUACAAUGUCACUGAAAAGGCCAAUCAAGAAGUUUGGUAAGGCCAAAGAUUCCUCCGGUAAAAGCUCAAAGAGGUAGCUACCAAACUGCUUACAAGGUCACAUACCACACAAACAUUGUAAGGUAUGAUGGCACUUGCUCACUGUUUAUUUAUAACAUUGCUUGAAAAUGUGUAGCAGACAUUACAUUAUACAUAAUCACAUGUAGUGGUUAGUAUCCUUUGUCCUGAAUUCCAAUGGUCAAUGUUGCAAAACAUCAUUACUAUCACUACCUAAUAGUUACUGAGUCAUUCAUACCUGAAUUGAUUGGUGCCUUGGUGGCAUGUGCUCCCCCCUCUGCAUACCCCAUUCUUGGCAUCCUCUGUCUAAAAAAGAUCCCAUUCUUGGCAUAUAUCCAAUGGUCCUACUCAUCUGAAAAAAAGUUCCCUCUGCUUGUCUAACUUAGCUGCAUCUCAUGGCUUCACAAAUGGAACAGCUUCCUUUUGUCCUCCUGACCUUGGUAUGUUGGGCUCUGCUGCCAUUUAUGCAGCAUAGUAGAGCGCAACAAUAAUAACCAGAUUGAUGCUACUGAGUCAUUCUCUUCCAUUUAUGCAGCAUAGUUUGGCACAUACUAGAUUGAUGCUAUAUUGGGUCCCACUGCCAAGUUCAGAGUUAUUUAACUGGUCCAUGUAGAGCACAAGUUAAUGAGUGUGUUUUUGCAACUUCUGAAUUAUGUGAAUUUGUAUUCUAAAUUGCAGUCAGUUCUGAUAAGUUCCAUUAUAAAGUACACAUGGGGAUGACCAUUCAUGCGAUGAAGUGAAUAUACACAUGAACUUAUGCAGGCAUCAAACAUCAACACAUACAUGUGUAUGAAUGUCAGUUCACACUGCACAUGGGCCAAUUGAGCUCCUUUUGAAAUGUCUUGAUCUUCCUUAUAGGUAGUUUCUUCUGCUCACUUGGACAUCUUUGUAGAGUCUAGCACUUGCUUAUUCCUAGUUAGUUUUAGGGGCACCUUUAUUUCCACUCACUUUGAGAAGCAGUCAAAAUUUUCUCCUAGUCUUGGAAUGAGUUUAACACCACAUACAACAGCUCAGUUGAUGGUGAGACGUGUGCUGAAUGCUGGAAUGAGGCCUUCACAUUGGUUUUGCUCCAAUGGUACUCUACAAAUGAUGUAAUUCUUAUACUGUCGGAUGCUAGCACCGAAAGUGUUCAGUAGCAACUGCAUGCCAUAUUUCAAGUUGGCAGCAGGCUGAAAGAACAAAGAGCUUUUUGUUCACUUCAGUUUCUUUGAGAUCCUUCUUUUUGUGAGGGAGUUUCCGAAGAUCCUGUCAGCAUGAGCUUUGACAUGCUUUCAGCUGGAGGUCACUCUUUCUGUGUGUCGUCUUGUCAAUGUAAACAUGUUGUUACAGUACUGAGCAAAACAAAAAGAUGAGUGGAGUCAUCAAACAUUUCCCCCAUUACAGAAGCAAGUGUGAUGAAAAGGGUGCUGUUAGACAUGUUCCUUGGGGGCAAGAAGCUCAGUUGAACCUUUCUGGAACAGCUCCACGCAUGAACAUCACGACGCAACAUGGUCAGUGUACAGUGGAUGAUAAGUAAGAGCACGCACAGAAAGAGAAGGACCACUGGAGCAGCGUGCCAAGAUCUGUCGAGAUAGAAAGCAAGAACAUGUGUGCACAGACACGGCACAAGAUCUAGCUCGAGAAGCGAGCUGCGAUCGCCGCCGACUGUCGGCAUGCUGACCACUGUGGCAUCUUACCUGAGAACAGGAUACGAAUGGGAGGAGGAGGGGAAGGACCACCUUUCCUCCAUCAAAGAAUGCAAGGUGGGUGCAUCAGUGACCACUGAUCAGGCAUGUGCAACCUGCAUCAGGCUCUCCUCGUUUGGCUGGGUGUGCGUGCAAAAGAGAGGUGGUGAUGUUGGUGGUGGGUUUUCAGUUGCAAAUUGCAGUGUUUGGUGACAGUCGUGCGUGCUGUUGCAAGUGUCAUGCUCAGAAUGGGAGCUUUCAGUAAGUCCAGGCUCCUCCUUUGGUGCUUCCAGUCCCAGGCAGACGUGUCCCAGCAGCGGUCAUCUCCUCCCUGCUCAUGUCUCCAUCCGCCCGCUGAUCAUCCCCACCAAACCCGACGCCUCCGCCGGCCCACGGUCUCGCCGCGCGGCCGAGAUAGGGACGGAUGUGUGCUGUGUGUUGUCGCCGGCGUGGAGCAUGUGGCCGAACUGAUAGAGCACUUGGCUGGCUUGCCAUUGGCCGCCGGUGGCCAUGGGUGCAUGCCUGGGUUUCUUUAACCUCCCUAGCAUCAUCGGUUCUCGCUCACGGCUUUUCUUGCCUUGCUGAGUUCAUCACCUGCAUAAUGCAGGACACAUACAUGGCCGCUGUAUGUAGCUUGCUUAGUUCCCUCCCUCCCCAAUUAUCAUUCUAAUGUCAAACCUUUCUUAUCCUGCGGCUGGAUAAUUGAGUGUGCAUCACUUGGAUAAUAUUGUAAUUAGCUGUUGCAUCCCCUUUACUUGACUCAAUGUGGACCAAGUGAGUUCUCUUU